GAUGAAGAACGCAGCGAAAUGCGAUAAGUAACGUGAAUUGCAGAAUUCAGUGAAUCAUCGAAUCUUUGAACGCACAUUGCGCCCGCCAGUAUUCUGGCGGGCAUGCCUGUCUGAGCGUCAUUUCAACCCUCAUGCCCCUAGGGCGUGGUGUUGGGGAUCGGCCAAAGCCCGCGAGGGACGGCCGGCCCCUAAAUCUAGUGGCGGACCCGUCGUGGCCUCCUCUGCGAAGUAGUGAUAUUCCGCAUCGGAGAGCGAUGAGCCCCUGCCGUUAAACCCCCAACUUUCCAAGGUUGACCUCAGAUCAGGUAGGAAUACCCGCUGAACUUAAGCAUAUCAAUAAGCGGAGGA
This 348-nucleotide unclassified non-coding RNA is filed under the name soil metagenome. Its description in RNAcentral is "partial contains 5.8S ribosomal RNA, internal transcribed spacer 2, and large subunit ribosomal RNA". The stretch from base 1 to 120 matches the Rfam family "5.8S ribosomal RNA", at positions 35 to 154 of the family's 154-position model. The record is from RNAcentral.